AAUAUUGGACAAUGGAGGAAACUCUGAUGCAGCGACGCCGCGUGAACGAAGAAGGCUUNCGAGUCNUNAAGUCCUGUCCUAGGGGNAGAGAAUGACGGUACCCUAGGAGGAAGCCCCGGCUAACCACGUGCCAGCAGACGCGGUAAUACGUAGGGGGCAAGCGUUGUCCGGAUUUAUUGGGCGUAAAGGGUUCGCAGGCGGCCUUUUAAGUCAGAUGUGAAAGACUACAGCUCCUCUGUGGUAAGCAUUUGAAACUGAAAGGCUUGAGUUUAGGCAAGGAAAGUGGAAUUCCUAGUGUCGCGGUGAAAUGCGUAGAUAUUAAGAGGAAUACCAGUGGCGAAGGCGACUUUCUGGACUUAUACUGACGCUGAGGAACGAAAGCGUGGGGAGCAAACAGG
Molecule: ribosomal RNA, 398 nt
Filed under: uncultured bacterium
Lineage: Bacteria
Description: partial 16S ribosomal RNA
Rfam family: Bacterial small subunit ribosomal RNA
Source: RNAcentral